UACGGAGGGGGCGAGCGUUAUUCGGAAUUAUUGGGCGUAAAGGGCGCGUAGGCGGCUCUUUAAGUCAAAGGUGAAAUCCCUCGGCUCAACUGAGGAACUGCCUUUGAAACUGAAGAGCUUGAGUCCGGGAGGGGGUAGCGGAAUUCCCAGUGUAGCGGUGAAAUUCGUAGAUAUUCGGAGGAACACCAGUGGCGAAGGCGGCUCACUGGUCCGGUACUGACGCUGAGGUGCGAAAGCGUGGGGAGCAAACAGG
Molecule: ribosomal RNA, 253 nt
Filed under: uncultured bacterium
Lineage: Bacteria
Description: partial 16S ribosomal RNA
Rfam family: Bacterial small subunit ribosomal RNA
Source: RNAcentral